GAGGGAUUGAGUCGAGGGGAACCCACCCACGCGUCCAUCCCGUUCUCAAGGUCUUUUUGGACCUUCUCUUCGCCUUCCUUCGGCUCUCGCGAGCACUGAUGGUGGAUGAGUUGGCCGGAGGCAUCUGGCAGUGUAAAGAGCGCGCCCUGUUUGUCUGCUUUUCCUUUUUUUCUUUCCCUUUGUGUUUUUUACCCGCGCACAAUCUCCAAGCUUGGCCCUGUGGGCUGUGUUCUUUCCCUCAUACUUUCUUUUCCAACCCCGAAACCGGAAAAAAAAAUCCCAUGGUUUUCUCUCUACCUCUCUUGCCCAUGGAAGCGGUUGGAGUUCUUGAUGCAUUGAGGUAGGCAGGAUAUAAUCCCCUCCUCCUCUUCUUCUUCUUCUUCUUUUUCGUUAUACUUCGGAAAGGUUUGAUUGGACGAUGCUCUGAAAAAAAAAAUAUUUUUUGGUUUCUUGGCAUCUGUGGAAGAAGAGGGGAGAGAACGGGGUAGUUUUUUUUUUUAUUCUCUCUCUCUCUCU
This 516-nucleotide long non-coding RNA is filed under the name Phoenix dactylifera (date palm). Its description in RNAcentral is "long non-coding RNA (PDAC_LNC015278)". Lineage: Eukaryota; Viridiplantae; Streptophyta; Magnoliopsida; Arecales; Arecaceae. The record is from RNAcentral.